Molecule: long non-coding RNA, 3030 nt
Organism: Oncorhynchus keta (chum salmon)
Lineage: Eukaryota; Metazoa; Chordata; Actinopteri; Salmoniformes; Salmonidae
Exons: 4
Source: RefSeq, a predicted model, not a curated record
GUGUUACAGGAGGCACCAGGGACAUUGGCUCAGCUCUAACCAGGAUGUGUUGUUUGUGUGUUACAGGAGGCACCAGGGACAUUGGCUCAGCUCUAACCAGGAUGUGUUGUUUGUGUGUUACAGGAGGCACCAGGGACAUUGGCUCAGCUCUAACCAGGAUGUGUUGUUUGUGUGUUACAGGAGGCACCAGGGACAUUGGCUCAGCUCUAACCAGGAUGUGUUGUUUGUGUGUUACAGGAGGCACCAGGGACAUUGGCUCAGCUCUAACCAGGAUGUGUUGUUUGUGUGUUACAGGAGGCACCAGGGACAUUGGCUCAGCUCUAACCAGGAUGUGUUGUUUGUGUGUUACAGGAGGCACCAGGGACAUUGGCUCAGCUCUAACCAGGAUGUGUAUGAGACACAGAAGCAUCGAGGCCAAACUCAGAGACUUUUCAAUGGCUUUCAUGGACUGCAUGAUCAACCCUCUACAGGAUCAGAUGGAAGAGUGGAAGAGAGGAACCAACACUCUGGAUAAGGACCAUGCUAAAGAGUACAAGAAAGUUCGGAGUGAGAUCAAGAAGAAGUCGUUAGACACUCUGAAGCUACAGAAGAAGGCAAAGAAAGGUACUCUAUCAUCUAUAUCUAUCUAUCUAUCUAUCUAUCUAUCUAUCUAUCUAUCUCUCUAUCCCUUCUCUACUGGCUGUGCCAUGGAAAUAUAAUUAUUACAACAUAUGUCCCGAUACAUAUAAUGUCUGUGGGCUUGGCCAUAUGAAGUAUAGUAUGAACUCUGUACCUCUAUGAGCUGUCGUUUCCCCUUGAGGUCAAACCUACACAGUCCAUGUAGUCUAAAGGAAAUAGAGUUGAAUGUCAAUGAGGCUACAUUUACUAUACAUAGUAGAUCUCUUUGUUCCUUUAUCAUCUCUGAACGUCAAUGAGGCUACUCAGGGACUCUACAGUAUAAAACACAGUACGUAUUUAUAUAACAUUUACUAUACAUAGUAGAUCUCUUUGUUCCUUUAUCAUCUCUGAACCACAAUCUCUAACGUACAUUUGGUACGCUUAGGCAAAUGGACAUGCAAAUUGAGUUGAACAUCCUUCCCUACCGAAUGUCUUUACUCUAUGCUAUGGUUUCGGUUAAGUUAUGUAAGACUUUUCCUGUUAUAAUCUCCACCCGGCACAGCCAGAAGAGGACUGGCCACCCACAUAGCCUGGUUCCUCUCUAGGUUUAUAAUCUCUACCCGGUACAGCCAGAAGAGGACUGGCCACCCCACAUCGCCUGGUUCCUCUCUAGGUUUAUAAUCUCUACCCGGUACAGCCAGAAGAGGACUGGCCACCCCACAUAGCCUGGUUCCUCUCUAGGUUUAUAAUCUCCACCCCUCAUAGCCUGGUUCCUCUCUAGGUUUAUAUCCUUCUGUAGCUCAGUUGGUAGAGCAUGGCGCUUGUAACGCCAGGGUAGUGGGUUCAAUUCCCGGGACCACUCAUACGUAGAAUGUAUGCACACAUGACUGUAAGUCGCUUUGGAUAAAAGCGUCCGCUAAAUGGCAUAUAUUAUUAUUAUUAUAAUCUCUACCCGGUACAGCCAGAAGAGGACUGGCCACCCCACAUAGCCUGGUUCCUCUCUAGGUUUAUAAUCUCCACCCCUCAUAGCCUGGUUCCUCUCUAGGUUUAUAAUCUCUACCCGGUACAGCCAGAAGAGGACUGGCCACCCCACAUAGCCUGGUUCCUCUCUAGGUUUAUAAUCUCUACCCGGUACAGCCAGAAGAGGACUGGCCACCCCACAUAGCCUGGUUCCUCUCUAGGUUUAUAAUCUCUACCCGGUACAGCCAGAAGAGGACUGGCCACCCCACAUAGCCUGGUUCCUCUCUAGGUUUAUAAUCUCUACCCGGUACAGCCAGAAGAGGACUGGCCACCCCACAUCGACUGGUUCCUCUCUAGGUUUCUUCCUAGGUUUUGGCCUUUCUAGGGAGUUUUUCCCAGCCACCGUGCUUCUACACCUGUAUUGCUUGCUGUUUGGGGGUUUUAGGCUGGGUUUCUGUACAGCACUUUGAGAUAUCAGCUGAUGUACGAAGGGCUUUAUAAAUACAUUUGAUUUGUUCCUGAUCCCUGUCAGACUCCGCGGAUGGUCAGAUAUCAUCUUGUACACAGGAAUCUGUCUAAAUGAUGUCUGGAAACACGGAGGAGGAAAAACAACAGAGUCAGCUCAUGUUGACCGUCGUUAUACUGAAACCAGGACACGGGCUGUGUCCCAAAUGGCACCCUGUUCCCUAUACAGUGCACUACUUUAGACCAGGGUCUAUAGGGCUAGGCCCCAAAAGAAGUGCACUACAUAGGAACUAGGGUGCCAUUUGGAACAGAUUCUCUGCUCAACUUCUGAGUAUCAGUUUGUGUCUUCUCCUCGUAGGACAGCACAUCCCAAUUGAAUAAGCAUAGGCAGUCAGUCAGUCUUUGUGCAGGCCUACGCACCAUGAAAGGAAAUGGAGACGCUAUUGAAGAGGUUCAAUUUGUGUCUAGACAGAUAGACAGAUGAGAGAGAGUGUCUACGGGGGAAGCUCCUAUUCAAGCUGUCAGUUAUCUUGAGUGACUAAAGUCCAGUUGAAAUGUCAAAAUGGCCGUCUUGAAAGCACCAAAACAUCUAUGCAUUUCAAAGCGAACUUCAACUUUUUUAAAAACUUCUUUAGCUCAAAUACUGUGCUGUUGUAUUUCCAUGGUGCAGUAUUUAGCAGUAUGCACCUGGUCUUCUUGUUCCAGUGUUAUUAGAUGUCCUAUCUAGAGGAGCAGUAUUUAGCAGUAUGCACCUGGUCUUCUUGUUCCAGUGUUAUGAGAUGUCCUAUCUAGAGGAGCAGUAUUUAGCAGUAUGCACCUGGUCUUCUUGUUCCAGUGUUAUGAGAUGUCCUAUCUAGAGGAGCAGUAUUUAGCAGUAUGCACCUGGUCUUCUUGUUCCAGUGUUAUGAGAUGUCCUACCUAGAGGAGCAGUAUUUAGCAGUAUGCACCUGGUCUUCUUGUUCCAGUGUUAUGAGAUGUCCUAUCUAGAGGAGCAGUAUUUAGCAGUAU